RNAcentral lists this ribosomal RNA (490 nucleotides) under uncultured bacterium. RNAcentral describes it as "partial 16S ribosomal RNA". It matches the Rfam family "Bacterial small subunit ribosomal RNA", at positions 30 to 507 of the family's 1533-position model. The record is from RNAcentral.
AUUGAACGCUGGCGGCAGGCCUAACACAUGCAAGUCGAACGGUAACAGGAAGAAGCUUGCUUCUUUGCUGACGAGUGGCGGACGGGUGAGUAAUGUCUGGGAAACUGCCUGAUGGAGGGGGAUAACUACUGGAAACGGUAGCUAAUACCGCAUAAUGUCGCAAGACCAAAGAGGGGGACCUUCGGGCCUCUUGCCAUCGGAUGUGCCCAAAUGGGAUUAGCUAGUAGGUGGGGUAACGGCUCACCUAGGCGACGAUCCCUAGCUGGUCUGAGAGGAUGACCAGCCACACUGGAACUGAGACACGGUCCAGACUCCUACGGGAGGCAGCAGUGGGGAAUAUUGCACAAUGGGCGCAAGCCUGAUGCAGCUAUGCCGCGUGUAUGAAGAAGGCCUUCGGGUUGUAAAGUACUUUCAGCGGGGAGGAAGGGAGUAAAGUUAAUACCUUUGCUCAUUGACGUUACCCGCAGAAGAAGCACCGGCUAACUCCGUG